RNAcentral lists this small nuclear RNA (31 nucleotides) under Eremothecium gossypii ATCC 10895. RNAcentral's name for it is "AgSNR53 (AGOS_AgSNR53)". Lineage: Eukaryota; Fungi; Ascomycota; Saccharomycetes; Saccharomycetales; Saccharomycetaceae. RNAcentral also lists the same sequence under 1 other name. The record is from RNAcentral.
AGCACGUCAUGAUUAGCAUGGUAUGCUCAUC